Molecule: ribosomal RNA, 1559 nt
Filed under: Staphylococcus aureus
Lineage: Bacteria; Bacillati; Bacillota; Bacilli; Caryophanales; Staphylococcaceae
Description: 16S ribosomal RNA
Rfam family: Bacterial small subunit ribosomal RNA
Source: RNAcentral
UUUAUGGAGAGUUUGAUCCUGGCUCAGGAUGAACGCUGGCGGCGUGCCUAAUACAUGCAAGUCGAGCGAACGGACGAGAAGCUUGCUUCUCUGAUGUUAGCGGCGGACGGGUGAGUAACACGUGGAUAACCUACCUAUAAGACUGGGAUAACUUCGGGAAACCGGAGCUAAUACCGGAUAAUAUUUUGAACCGCAUGGUUCAAAAGUGAAAGACGGUCUUGCUGUCACUUAUAGAUGGAUCCGCGCUGCAUUAGCUAGUUGGUAAGGUAACGGCUUACCAAGGCAACGAUGCAUAGCCGACCUGAGAGGGUGAUCGGCCACACUGGAACUGAGACACGGUCCAGACUCCUACGGGAGGCAGCAGUAGGGAAUCUUCCGCAAUGGGCGAAAGCCUGACGGAGCAACGCCGCGUGAGUGAUGAAGGUCUUCGGAUCGUAAAACUCUGUUAUUAGGGAAGAACAUAUGUGUAAGUAACUGUGCACAUCUUGACGGUACCUAAUCAGAAAGCCACGGCUAACUACGUGCCAGCAGCCGCGGUAAUACGUAGGUGGCAAGCGUUAUCCGGAAUUAUUGGGCGUAAAGCGCGCGUAGGCGGUUUUUUAAGUCUGAUGUGAAAGCCCACGGCUCAACCGUGGAGGGUCAUUGGAAACUGGAAAACUUGAGUGCAGAAGAGGAAAGUGGAAUUCCAUGUGUAGCGGUGAAAUGCGCAGAGAUAUGGAGGAACACCAGUGGCGAAGGCGACUUUCUGGUCUGUAACUGACGCUGAUGUGCGAAAGCGUGGGGAUCAAACAGGAUUAGAUACCCUGGUAGUCCACGCCGUAAACGAUGAGUGCUAAGUGUUAGGGGGUUUCCGCCCCUUAGUGCUGCAGCUAACGCAUUAAGCACUCCGCCUGGGGAGUACGACCGCAAGGUUGAAACUCAAAGGAAUUGACGGGGACCCGCACAAGCGGUGGAGCAUGUGGUUUAAUUCGAAGCAACGCGAAGAACCUUACCAAAUCUUGACAUCCNNNNNNNNNNNNNNNNNNNNNNNNNNNNNNNNNNNNNNNNNAAGUGACAGGUGGUGCAUGGUUGUCGUCAGCUCGUGUCGUGAGAUGUUGGGUUAAGUCCCGCAACGAGCGCAACCCUUAAGCUUAGUUGCCAUCAUUAAGUUGGGCACUCUAAGUUGACUGCCGGUGACAAACCGGAGGAAGGUGGGGAUGACGUCAAAUCAUCAUGCCCCUUAUGAUUUGGGCUACACACGUGCUACAAUGGACAAUACAAAGGGCAGCGAAACCGCGAGGUCAAGCAAAUCCCAUAAAGUUGUUCUCAGUUCGGAUUGUAGUCUGCAACUCGACUACAUGAAGCUGGAAUCGCUAGUAAUCGUAGAUCAGCAUGCUACGGUGAAUACGUUCCCGGGUCUUGUACACACCGCCCGUCACACCACGAGAGUUUGUAACACCCGAAGCCGGUGGAGUAACCUUUUAGGAGCUAGCCGUCGAAGGUGGGACAAAUGAUUGGGGUGAAGUCGUAACAAGGUAGCCGUAUCGGAAGGUGCGGCUGGAUCACCUCCUUUCUAAGGA